CGCCAGGGGACUACAAGCCCAGCUUAAAACCCAAAGGACUUGGCGGUGUCUCAGACCCACCUAGAGGAGCCUGUUCUAGAACCGAUAAACCCCGUUAAACCUCACCACUUCUUGUUUAACCCGCCUAUAUACCGCCGUCGUCAGCUUACUCCGUGAGGACUCAACAGUAAGCAAAAUGAGUAGAACCCAGAACGUCAGGUCGAGGUGUAGCACACGAAAUGGGAAGAAAUGGGCUACAUUUUCUAUUACAGAAAACUACGAAUGGUGUACUGAAACGUACUCUUGAAGGAGGAUUUAGAAGUAAAAAGCAAAUAGAGAGUCCUUUUGAACUAGGCUCUGAGACACGC
This 347-nucleotide ribosomal RNA is filed under the name Corydoras cf. serratus 'C38'. RNAcentral describes it as "partial 12S ribosomal RNA". It matches the Rfam family "Bacterial small subunit ribosomal RNA", at positions 870 to 1384 of the family's 1533-position model. The record is from RNAcentral. RNAcentral also lists the same sequence under 1 other name. Lineage: Eukaryota; Metazoa; Chordata; Actinopteri; Siluriformes; Callichthyidae.